CGGCAACAGCUCAAAUUUGAAAUCUGGCCUCUUUGGGGUCCGAGUUGUAAUUUGGAGAGGAUGUUUCGGGUACGGUCCGGGCUUAAAUUUCUUGGAACAGAAUGUCACAGAGGGUGAGAAUCCCGUCUGGAGUCCGGACACGGCCUAUGUGAAACUCCUUCGACGAGUCGAGUUGUUUGGGAAUGCAGCUCUAAAUGGGUGGUAAAUUUCAUCUAAAGCUAAAUAUUGGCCAGAGACCGAUAGCGCGCAAGUAGAGUGAUCGAAAGAUGAAAAGCACUUUGAAAAGAGAGUUAAAAAGUACGUGAAAUUGUUGAAAGGGAAGCGCUGGCAACCAGACUUGCACGUCGGGGUUCCCCCUUGCUUUUGCCUGGGUUACUCCCCGGCGUUCAGGCCAACAUCGGUUUCGGGGGUUGGUUAAAGGCCUUGGGAAUGUACUUACCCUCCGGGGUAAACUUAUAGCCCAAGGUGUCAUGCGACCUCCCGGGACCGAGGAACGCGCUUCGGCUCGGAUGUUGGCGUAAUGGUUGUCAGCGACCCGUCUUGAAACACGGACCAAGGAGUCUAACAUCUAUGCGAGUGUUAGGGUGUCAAACCCUUACGCGGAAUGAAAGUGAACGGAGGUAGGAAGCCGUUAGGCUGCACUAUCGACCGAUCCUGAAGUUUACGGAUGGAUUUGAGUAAGAGCAUAGCUGUUGGGACCCGAAAGAUGGUGAACUAUGCCUGAAUAGGGUGAAGCCAGAGGAAACUCUGGUGGAGGCUCGCA
Molecule: ribosomal RNA, 763 nt
Filed under: Cyphellophora suttonii
Lineage: Eukaryota; Fungi; Ascomycota; Eurotiomycetes; Chaetothyriales; Cyphellophoraceae
Description: eukaryotic LSU rRNA
Rfam family: Eukaryotic large subunit ribosomal RNA
Source: RNAcentral